GGGGAGAACACCUGUCUCUUUCUAUCCCCUUAUUAUUUUAUCCCCCCAAAAAACCAACAGAGUGGCUAAUCUGACUGAACAGAACCAAAACAUUCAGUGGGCCAUGGUUUACAGUAUACAGGAUUAUUAAAACCCAAAGGAAGAAACAGGCUGACUGCUUACUCUUCACUUCUGGACUCAGGCAUACUGGACUCAGCUGUCUUCUUGCCCACUUUUCUACUUCUGCUUCUUUUUUUCAGGAGCCUAUUACAUUUCUAUUUCUGCUUUCUUCCACGAGGCAAACACAUUUGCUUAAGACUGAAGACCUGACUUCUGUAAUCCUCACCCAUACAGAAUUCAAUGGAGAAGGGAACUACAAAAUUUUCCUAAUAUAUGAACUACAACAUGAUAUAAUUGAAAGAGUAUGGGUGUCAGAAGGUAAGAUUAAGUGUAAAUCCCUAGUAUUAUGAUUUAAUUAAUCUCCAUGGGCCUGAAUUUCUUUUUAUCCAUAAAAAAAGAAAUACUUUUCAAGGAUCAGAUCAAAUGCCAUUUCCACCAAAAGGAUGUCUAACAUGAACAACAGCAAUUAUUUCCACAUUCUGUCUGUAGCCAUUUAUAUGUAUCUCUUAUAAAAUAUGCUUAUUUGCCUUACAUUAUAGAAAUUUAUAAUCUUUGUCAUCUCCUUUAUUUGCC
RNAcentral lists this long non-coding RNA (672 nucleotides) under Mustela putorius furo (domestic ferret). RNAcentral describes it as "lncRNA (ENSMPUG00000025396.1)". Lineage: Eukaryota; Metazoa; Chordata; Mammalia; Carnivora; Mustelidae. The record is from RNAcentral.